UAUCUCUGUAGAGUCUGCAUAUCAAUAAGCGGAGGAAAAGAAACUAACAAGGAUUCCCUUAGUAACGGCGAGUGAAGCGGGAAGAGCUCAAAUUUGAAAUCUUCAAGGUUCUACCUUGACGAAUUGUAGUUUAAAGAAGUGUUUUCUGUUAGAUGAGUAGCAAAAGUUCCUUGGAAUGGGACAUCAUAGAGGGUGAGAAUCCCGUAUUUGGUUAUUCAUUCUAGCUUUGUGAUACACUUUCAAAGAGUCGGAUUGUUUGGGAAUGCAGUCCAAAAUGGGUGGUAAAUUUCAUCUAAAGCUAAAUAUUGGCGAGAGACCGAUAGCGAACAAGUACCGUGAGGGAAAGAUGAAAAGAACUUUGAAAAGAGAGUUAAACAGUACGUGAAAUUGUCAAAAGGGAAGCGUUUGACACCAGUGUUGUUUUUCCGAAAAUCAAUUACGAAUGGCUUGAUUCUGUGUUGUAUUGACCUUAUCAGCUUUCUUCACUUUUUUCGAGUCUUUCUUAAUGCACUUUUCGGUUAACAAGUCAACAUCAAUUUCUUUUGUUGUAAAAGGGUCAUUGGAAGGUGGCUUUCUUUUCGGAGAAAGUGUUUAUAGGCCCUAUUGACUUCUACAAUCGGAGAGACUGAGGUCUGCAGCGUAGAUCCUUCGGGGUUAGAUACAUUUGUGCUAAGUUAUAGCCUUUUCAUAGACAACUUGUUGACUAUGAUCAGUCAUGUAGCUUACUCGCUUAUGCUAUUGUACCUACGCUUAGGAUGUUGAAGAUGUAGCACAUCAU
RNAcentral lists this ribosomal RNA (778 nucleotides) under uncultured Neocallimastigales. Its description in RNAcentral is "partial large subunit ribosomal RNA". It matches the Rfam family "Eukaryotic large subunit ribosomal RNA", at positions 24 to 635 of the family's 3401-position model. Lineage: Eukaryota; Fungi; Neocallimastigomycota; Neocallimastigomycetes; Neocallimastigales. The record is from RNAcentral.